Molecule: ribosomal RNA, 253 nt
Filed under: uncultured bacterium
Lineage: Bacteria
Description: partial 16S ribosomal RNA
Rfam family: Bacterial small subunit ribosomal RNA
Source: RNAcentral
UACAGAGGAGCCAAGCGUUGUCCGGAUUGACUGGGCGUAAAGCGCACGCAGGCGGACGCGCGCGUGGGGAGUGAAAUCUGGCCGCUUAACGGCCAGGCGCCAUCCCAUACGGCGUGUCUGGAGUGAUGCAGAGGUCGGUGGAAUUGCCGGUGUAGUGGUGAAAUGCGUAGAGAUCGGCAGGAACACCCAGGGGGAAACCAGCCGACUGGGCAUCUACUGACGCUGAGGUGCGAGAGCGUGGGGAGCGAACCGG